CCGAUCUCGAUCUACUGUUGCUGUUGCAGUCACACCCGAAUACGCCCACUCUGAAGGGGGCGUAACCACGUGACCAUAAAAAUAAAAACACGACAGAGACAGAGACUCACUAACACUAAAGUCGUGUUUUAUUUUGGAAUUUGCUUAAAUGAUAAAUAAAAAUUAGGUCUUCAGUGAAAUUCAAGACAUUUUCGACUCGACAGGAUGACCCUGAAAUUGCAUCAUCUCCGCGCAGCCUCAAGAUUUCUUUCUCUGCAAAGACGUUUUAUUUCCAGUUAUACCAAGCCACCAAUUUUGCAGAGUGCUCCAAAUUUUUCAGUGCCGAAAUUGUACAAAUUCAGCCCGCUUCAUUUUAAUUUUUCUCUCCGGCUGUGCAGUUCGGACUGUUCAGAGAGCAAAGGUGUGCCGCUUGGAAAGCUUGAAGGACGGUUUAAUUUGAUUUACACGUGUGGAGUGUGCAGCCACCGGAACUCGCAUUUUAUUUCGAAACACGCGUACGAGAAGGGUGUCGUGAUAGUGACUUGCGAGGGAUGCAAAAAUAGACAUUUGAUCGCCGAUCAUUUAGGCUGGUUCCAAGACUUCCAGGAAAAGAAUAUAUAAGAAAUGAUGGCUAAAAAGGGCCAGGUUGUGCAGAGGAUUAAACCAACGAUUUUUGAAUAUUCAGAAUAAAGAGUUAAAUUUGUUAGCAAUCACAUUA
Long non-coding RNA from Cloeon dipterum, 697 nucleotides. RefSeq lists it as uncharacterized. NCBI's taxonomy places the organism in Eukaryota, Metazoa, Arthropoda, Insecta, Ephemeroptera, Baetidae. The record is from RefSeq and is a predicted model, not a curated record. The transcript is spliced from 2 exons.